This 225-nucleotide long non-coding RNA is filed under the name Rhinolophus ferrumequinum (greater horseshoe bat). RNAcentral's name for it is "lncRNA (ENSRFEG00010017553.1)". The record is from RNAcentral. Lineage: Eukaryota; Metazoa; Chordata; Mammalia; Chiroptera; Rhinolophidae.
UGGAAGGACGCAGGAAAAGGCUGCGCAGAGUGCAGGUGGAGGAGGCAGCCGAAGAGAACAUUCCAUCUGUUCCCAUAGAAGUAUUCUGCUAGCCUGGAAAUUGGAGGGGGACCAAGGAAAAACCCUGAGAUCCUGGCAUGGAACUCGUUGCAUGGAAUCAGCUAGGCAUCCGUUAUCUAAAUGUGAGUAUGGAAUUCUAAGAAGUGCUUAGAAAAGAUGUUUAAA